GGAUUGUGUCUGAAAGCCAUACAGUUCUGACUCCUUUGUGAGGAGAAAGUGAGAGGGGCAUGUAAGCUCUAUUGAUCCUUCCUCUCUCCGGAUUGAAUCUGAAUGGCGUUUCUCUGGGUGAGAGUCGAAUCUAUCUGCUCAGGCCUCCCACUCAUCGCUCCUCCAAUUAGCAUAUCAAUUGUGCGGCAUGUUUUAUAUGCAGGACCAGAAGAGGCGGCCCGCGUGUAUCCCGCUUUACACCGUGAAUCAUCAUCCACUAGUGCAGUCGCCAUGAGAGCGCCUCUAAAUCCUUUCUAUAAGUGGACCUAAUGCAGUUUCGUGUCGAGUUCGGCUUAAUAGAUGCUUUUAUCCAGAAUGACUUGCAGUGGAUCCAUGAUAUACAUUUUUUAUCAGUAUGUGUCCUCGGGGGGAUCGAAUCCAUAACCUUUGCAUUCCUAAUGCAACGCUCCACCAGUUGAUCUACAGGACCACCUACAGUAUUGCCCCCCAUAAUAACAGCUGUGGCUGUUAUGACCCUGUGAGACACAGUCAUUUUCUAUGCUUUCUAUAACCUUCAUUUUGGUGUCAAAUCACUUGUGGGUGACAUGAAAAACUCUGUUUCUGAGGACCAAUUAACUGGAGAGUAUUUUGAAACAUUGUAGUGUAACAGGCAUAAAAAACCAAUGCGUUGCGUAGAGGACACAGCGCUCCGUAGAGACUGUGUAUUCAGCAAUUAUUUAUUUCAUGCCUGUUUUCAUGAACAAAAGCGUUUUCAGUCGAGGGAGAUAAUUAAGCAAUUAAAUCACAAAGUGAUGUGCCUGUUGUCAGCAAAUACCUGUAAUACAAAACCCUCAGGUGACACGGGCCAAUGUUGCAUUUGAGUACAUGAUCGCUAAAACAGCUCAAAGACUCUGCAGACAGAUAGAGACAGAGCGCAGUUAUGCAAAUUUGAAAACCACGCCCACCGGGGGGGAACGCAAUCCAACCGUCUCCAUUGACUUUGUAUUGCGAGAAGCCGCCUCCUUGUCAUUUCUGGAUUAUAACAAAAAACUGAAUAAUGCCUAAAAGCUGCUGUGUGACAAUAUGUACAGCUAACAAGACAAAGAACCCAGAAAUAAGUUUUUAUAAGCUGUCGAGCCGUAAAACCCAGUCUUUAAGGAGAAUAAAGUGGA
This is a non-coding RNA of Misgurnus anguillicaudatus (oriental weatherfish), 1151 nucleotides long. NCBI's taxonomy places the organism in Eukaryota, Metazoa, Chordata, Actinopteri, Cypriniformes, Cobitidae. The record is from RefSeq and is a predicted model, not a curated record.